AUUGAACGCUGGCGGCAGGCCUAACACAUGCAAGUCGAACGGUAGCACAGAGAGCUUGCUCUCGGGUGACGAGUGGCGGACGGGUGAGUAAUGUCUGGGAAACUGCCCGAUGGAGGGGGAUAACUACUGGAAACGGUAGCUAAUACCGCAUAACGUCGCAAGACCAAAGUGGGGGACCUUCGGGCCUCACACCAUCGGAUGUGCCCAGAUGGGAUUAGCUAGUAGGUGGGGUAAUGGCUCACCUAGGCGACGAUCCCUAGCUGGUCUGAGAGGAUGACCAGCCACACUGAACUGAGACACGGUCCAGACUCCUACCGGAGGCAGCAGUGGGGAAUAUUGCACAAUGGGCGCAAGCCUGAUGCAGCCAUGCCGCGUGUAUGAAGAAGGCCUUCGGGUUGUAAAGUACUUUCAGCGGGGAGGAAGGCGGUGAAGUUAAUAACUUCACCGAUUGACGUUACCCGCAGAAGAAGCACCGGCUAACUCCGUGCCAGCCGCCGCCGUAA
RNAcentral lists this ribosomal RNA (503 nucleotides) under uncultured bacterium. Its description in RNAcentral is "partial 16S ribosomal RNA". It matches the Rfam family "Bacterial small subunit ribosomal RNA", at positions 30 to 523 of the family's 1533-position model. The record is from RNAcentral.